ACUCUUGAGGAGGUGAGCUACCUA
RNAcentral lists this non-coding RNA (24 nucleotides) under Arabidopsis thaliana (thale cress). The record is from RNAcentral. Lineage: Eukaryota; Viridiplantae; Streptophyta; Magnoliopsida; Brassicales; Brassicaceae.